Molecule: ribosomal RNA, 610 nt
Filed under: uncultured bacterium
Lineage: Bacteria
Description: bacterial SSU rRNA
Rfam family: Bacterial small subunit ribosomal RNA
Source: RNAcentral
CCUACGGGAGGCAGCAGUGAGGAAUAUUGGACAAUGGGCGCAAGCCUGAUCCAGCCAUGCCGCGUGCAGGAUGACGGUCCUAUGGAUUGUAAACUGCUUUUGUACAGGAAGAAACACUGGUUCGUGAACCAGCUUGACGGUACUGUAAGAAUAAGGAUCGGCUAACUCCGUGCCAGCAGCCGCGGUAAUACGGAGGAUCCAAGCGUUAUCCGGAAUCAUUGGGUUUAAAGGGUCCGUAGGCGGUUUAAUAAGUCAGUGGUGAAAGCCCAUCGCUCAACGGUGGAACGGCCAUUGAUACUGUUAGACUUGAAUUAUUAGGAAGUAACUAGAAUAUGUAGUGUAGCGGUGAAAUGCUUAGAGAUUACAUGGAAUACCAAUUGCGAAGGCAGGUUACUACUAAUUGAUUGACGCUGAUGGACGAAAGCGUGGGUAGCGAACAGGAUUAGAUACCCUGGUAGUCCACGCCGUAAACGAUGGAUACUAGCUGUUGGAAGCAAUUUCAGUGGCUAAGCGAAAGUGAUAAGUAUCCCACCUGGGGAGCACGUUCGCAAGAAUGAAACUUAAAGGAAUUGACGGCGNGAGAGAGACGAGACGACGACGAGGGAGGAGG